Nycticebus coucang (slow loris) is the source of this 6023-nucleotide RNA transcript. It is a transcript of the gene named Scm polycomb group protein like 1, with no coding region annotated. NCBI's taxonomy places the organism in Eukaryota, Metazoa, Chordata, Mammalia, Primates, Lorisidae. The transcript has 8 exons. The record is from RefSeq and is a predicted model, not a curated record.
ACCGUUUCAGAGCACUAUAAAAGCCUUAACGGUUCUAGCUUCACUGCAGUUGGGAAGUUGGCGUUACUGGAGGACGGUGUGCCGGGCUGCAGCGCUGGAGCAGGAGUAGAAAGGAGGUUUACCAGUCUUAGGUGACUAAGCAGUUUCACAAAUAAACCUUCCAGCAAGUUUAAAAAUAAUUAGGCCCAACUCAGAGGAAGAUGUCUAGCGGCUCCAGUGAUGUCGAUGUGCAGGAGAAUGUUCUAUCUGAGAAUGAAGAGCCAGCGAAAACAGUGGUGGAUGUCAUCAAACGUUGCCAGACCAUAGAGGAGACCCUCCAGAACCUAAGUAAGAAGUGUGACCAGAUUCUUGGAAAGGUUUCAAAGAUCUACCGUUGCCGUGUGAAAUCGCUGUGGCAAGCUCGUAAGCCGUUUGGAUAUGCUUACAAGAAUUACAAUUAUCUUAAGGCUAGAAAGCUUAAAUUUCAGAGAAGGAGGAGGAGGAGGAGGGGGCUUUCUGAGUCAUUCUCUCACCCUGAAAGUUAUAGCCCCACUUUCCCAGCAGAGCGCCGUGGUAAUAACCUGAGCAUCCAUGUGGAGACACCUUACAAUUCUGAGGAUUCCCAGGGGCUGGGGCUGCAGUCACCAUUCAGGGAGCAAACAAUCAGAGAGCACGUGCUAGAGCAGACCAUCAACCCGAAUCCAUCGAUCUUCCAGCAUUCUUAUCAGUCAUAUUUCCCAGUUGAUGAAGGAAUGCGGGCCAUUGAUACAUCGGCCCCCUAUCCGAGCCCUGGGCCUCACAGUACCAGCACCAACCUCUCGCCUACUCGGCCUUCCUCAGCAAUACACACAUCCAUGCUGAGCUCAGAAGAUGGCUGCCUGACCCAGAAUACUAGCUGCCUGAGCCAGGUUUCUGGCUGCCUGACCCAGAAUACUAGCUGCCUGACCCUGAAUACUAGCUGCCUGGCCCCGAAUACGAGCUGCCUGACCCCGAAUACUAGCUGCCUGGCCCCGAAUACUAGCUGCCUGGCCCCGAAUACUAGCUGCCUGACUCCGAAUACUAGCUACCUGACUCCGAAUACUAGCUACCUGACUCCGAAUACUAGCUGCCUGGCCCAGAGUUCUGGCUGCCUGACACAGAAGCCUAAGAUGAUAAGUUAUGCCUCUCUAAUGGAAGAUAAACAUUGUGGGUCACCGCUCAGAGUCCCUUGUGGCUUCGCUACGAGCUCACCCCUUCCUCAUGACCAUGAUAGGCUGAAACCAAUCUUCUCUGUUGACCCUUCAACCUGGUCUGUGGAAGACGUGGUCACUUUUCUGAAGCAAACCGAUGCUCCUAUGUCAAACCUCCUCACUGACCUCUUCAGGCACCACGACAUUGAUGGAAAGGCCCUGCUACUGCUCAAGAGUGACAUGAUGAUGCAAUAUAUGGGCCUGAAGCUGGGGACAGCUGUGAAGCUAUGCCACUACAUUGAAAGACUUAAAGAACAAAAAUACUAUGAUAUUUAAAAAAUGUUUCUGCCAACUGAGAUAGGGCUUACUUUUGGGAGUACCAGUGCCUUCUUGAUGGAAACUCAUUUGUCUGCCCUUAGUAGUUUUUGUUUUGUAGGAAAUUCCUCUAAAAAUACAUUAGAUCCAGAAUUGCAGAACUAAAUUAUAGUCUAGUCUACUUCUUUAAAAACCAUAUAACAUGUUACUUUUAGCAUAGUCAAAUAGGAAGUCCUUUAUGUUUUAUUAUUUUCGUUGGAUAGGUUACAAAUAUACUUUAUGCUGGAAAGAGCAAAAAAACUUUGAUUUUUGGUUCAUCUUUAUAUAUAGAACCAGAACAGCUAAAAAAGGAAAUAGCAGGGAUUGACAACUUCUAUAAUUAAAUCCAUGAGAAUGUUUCUGCAGAAGAGAAUUUAAAGGUAGCUUAUAUUUACUUCUUUCUCAAAUACUUUAAUGCUGAUGGCAACAUUUUGCUCAUGCUCUACCAGUUUCCAUAAAGGCAAUAGCCAUAUUGAUUAUUUAUCAUUCUGUUAUUAUAUGUCUUAUUUAUUCAUAUUUAGAGGAAAAGUUCAUAAACUUUUAAAAAGUACUCUUAUUAAUUUGCAGAUAAGUUAUAGAUAGAAUAAAUUAUAGAUAGAAUAGGUUAUAGAUAUAUAAAAAAAUAAAAAAGAAUAAGCUAUAGAUAAAAAAGACAAAAAUAAAAUAAUAAGUUAUAGAUAGAAUAAGUUAUAGAUAGAUUAAAAAAGACAAAAAUAAAAAAUAAGUUAUAGAUAAAAAAGACAAAAAAGAAUAAGUUAUAUAUAGAAUAGGUUAUCAGUAGAUUAAAAAGACAAAAAUAAAAAGAAUAAGUUAUAGUAGAAUAAGUUAUAGAUAGAUUAAAAAGAGUAAGUUAUAGAUAAAAAUAAAAAGAAUAAGUUAUAGAUUAAGUUAUAGAUAGAUUAAAAAAAGACAAAAAUAAAAAAUAAGAAACAGAUAAAGACAAAAAUAAAGACUAAGUUAUAUAUAGAGUAGGUUAUCAGUAGAUAAAAAAGACAAAAAUAAAAAAAGAAUUAAGUUAUAGAUAGAAUGGGUUAUAGAUAGAUGAAAAAGACAAAAAUUUAAAAAAGAGUAAGUUAUAGAUAAAAAAGACAAAAAUAAUAAAAGAAUAAGUUAUAGAUAAAUAAAAAGACAAAAAUUUAAAAAAGAAUAACUUAUAAAUAAAAAGAAAAAAUAAUAAAAGAAUAAGUUAUAGGUAGAUAAAAAAGACAAAAAUAAAAAAGAAUAAGUUAUAGAUAAAAAAGACAAAAGUAAAAAAAGAAUAAGUUAUAGAUAGAAUAGUUGUUUUAUCCAAGAGAUACUGUAUUGUGAGGGUAGUUUGGAUGGAGUAAGACUCUUAUUUUCUUUCAAAUAAAAUACCUAUUAAAAUUUCCAUAUUUUGGCUAAGUUUGGACAUUUAACUACAUAUUCAUUGUUCAUAUCUCUCUACAAAGAUACCUAUGUCCAAAGAUUCGUAUUUUAUUUUAUGUAUUCUUCAUAUAGAUACUACUUUAUAUUUUAUUCUAAAUUAAAAUAUAUAUGCAAGUAAAUUUUUUAUUUUUGAAUUUAAAAUGGCACUUUGUACUCCCUCAAAAGUAAGCAGGAACUAUAUAUUUAUGAAAUGUUUUUAUUCAGUAUACUAUAAAUGAAUCGUUUGCCAUCACAAGUACCUCUCAGUUUACUCUUCAGGGGAUAAGAAACAUCUGUAGAUUUUUUUUUCAUACAUCAACUUCUCUGCCCUGUGCGGUGUUCCUAGUAAAUUUGCAUAGUUCUGAGCCAUUUAUCCUACUAAACUUUGGAAGAUACAAUAAUCCUGUCUUAUCAUUUUGGGCUGUAUAAGUUAGAAGUUUUAAGGGAAACAUUUAUUUUUAUUUUUAUUAUUUUAUUUAUUAGUUUUAUUAUUUAUUAUUAUAUUAUUACAUUGUAUAACUAACAUUUAUAAGCUAUAAGAAUUGGUGCUAACAGUAUUAGCUAUUUAUUAUAAACAUCAGUAAAAUGUUCAGCAGGACCAAAGAUGUACAUUUUCUUCUUAGAAAACAAUUGUACUUUAUAUACAAAUGCAACUAUUUAAUGGGUACAUGUGGUUAAAAGAUUGGCUUCAUCUAUGUCAUUCCUUGUGUAAGACAAGAUUCUAACUUAAACUUGAUUUUCAUUCGAAUUGUUUGUAUGAAGACACUGUACCCAGUUGAACAGUCCUUAGAUGUUUAUGUAACAACUACAUUUUGCAAAUUUCAGAUUUUAAAAAGCAAUAAAAUUUUCAAACCACAACAGUUAAUGUCCAGGCCUCAGAUUUACUUUACUUACUUUCACUGCAUUACGUUAAUGUAUGAAUUUUGUUAGUAUUGAAAAGGAGCCCCUCUAGUAAAUUUGUGGCUUUAUAUCUCUAAAUACUUGAGUUUCAAAAUCUGCCGUUUCUCCUGGUAAAGAGAUGCCUAGGAGCAAAGAGCUGAUUUCUUAUAGUGGGUCUCAAAUGAGACUCCAGAAGCCUUUAAGAAGUUACAUCAAUGAGCUUUCUCUCUGCUCAUAAUACUAUCAAUAAUGCGAGUGUGCUGGACAAUGCCAGUGCCCCUCAUAUAUUUCGUCCCAUCUGAGUUCCCACACCUGCCUGGCAACGCUGGUUGCUCAUUAUCACUGUUGGGGGUGGGGGCAGAAGCCACGUCUUGACACACCUGCUAUUGCCCCUCUUCCUUCAGAUGGCCCAGACUCCUCGGCUGGAUACCUCUGAGGAUCAGCAUUACAGCUGAGUAGCCUUAAUUAUCCGCCCUUCAGCGCCUCUUCACUCCAGGUGCUGCUGCUCUGUGCUGAGGAUCCCAGAAACGUAGUGCUCUUGCUGCUCAGCAGCGUGUCUGUGGUUCAUUGAAGACAGUGGGGCCCUGACGGGGGCUCCCAGAAUGAUGAUCAAUGGGCUGGAACGAGGGUGCUGACCUGAGUGGUCGGAGACUUGAGUAAUUCAGUGUCCCCCCUUUCCCCUAUCUGGUUUGUAAAUUUUUAGUACAGAGACCAUCAUGCCAUAUUGCCCUUCACAGGCAUUUUCCUAGCUGUUCAAAUGACCUUUCCUUGAGCUUUGCCUCCCAGUCUGUCCUUUGACCCUCCGUAGCCAGCCAAAUUCUGUACCCUGAGCUCUAAGACCUUCUGGGCACACCUAGCAUUGCGCUGGUCUUUUGUCUGUGAUUUCACACAGUGGGAUGUCUUAAAGGACAUGUAGAGUCUAGGGGUCCUAUAGGGAUAAAAAUGCCAUGAAUAAUAUUUGAAAUUAAAAUGUAAAUGCUGUGUGUAGUAGCAAUGUAAUUAGGAGAAAAAGCACUGCUUUUUCAAGCUACAGAUAUAAUUGGACUCAGGGUUGGUUGUGUAAAUGACAGUCUCAGUUUCUGGGGCUCUUUCUACAGCUUGAUGCUGGGGCUUAACGUACAAUCCCCUGAUGCUGAUCCAGGCAGAGAGGGAGAGCUCUGGGGUAGAGAGGACGUACAGAGGCACCCACCAUUGGGAUCCGCAGCAGACAGCCAGCUUUCCUUCUCUACCUCCCUGCUCCCCACGUUGUCCAUGACAUUGGUUAAAUGGAACCUUGAGAGCAGCUCUCUUGAGGAAGCACAUACUCAGACUGAGCUUGGCCACUCCUGCUGCACUGGAGGCAGCUGUAAGGCUACAGGAUCACCUCUGACUGGAGGGGCGCUAUCAGCACUGAGGGGAGAUCCUUAAAACGUGAGGGACCUGGCUUCUCCCCUUGAGCUGCCUAGAACCUAGCUGAGAUGAGCCAACAUUCCUGAAAAGGAGAACCUUGGGACGCUUAUAAAACAGCACGUGAGUCCGCUCCAAGUGACAAUAAGUGAUGUAUCAAAAUGCCUCAGUAAUUGUGUGUCCUGUUCCUCAGCCAGAGAACCAAAGCACUUAAGCACCUUUAUUUGUAGAAAUGAUCCUUCACAGGCAAGAGGGCAGCCACGGCAGGGUCAAGGCCUCUGAGAGCCCCACUCCAUUUUGGCCUCACCCCUCUCCUGCUUUGGCCUUGGAUGCUCAAGUCCACAGAUGGACAGGGGUAGGGCAGGGUGUGCACACUCCCCGGGGGUAGAAAGUUCAGUGGGAGCGGGGCACAUACAUCACACCUUCCCUUUGCAUUCACGUAAGAGGGGAGAGAUGAAGCUUCUCUGCAGAUAGCAUGUGUAUUCACUGCUGGAGAGUGUUCUGAAGUGCUGGACAUUGUUGGAACUUGCCACCACCCCAGCUUUCUCAGUCCCCCCCUGUCAUUAGAGGCAUGAAAAACUGGAAGCAACAUUUCCUUUGCCAGUAGAGUUGGCUUCUUGGAUUUGUGCUCUGUCGGGAUUCUGGAAGGAGGAAGGUAAGGAUAAAUGAUUUCCCUCUGGGUGGCAGCAUAGGCCAGGCCUUUGAAUGUCAGUAGAAGGCAGAUGUGGGGUUUGGCAGCAGCCUUUGGCUGUCACCUUGGGAUUCAUUCCCUUCAUUCAUGUAGGCAGCUGAGACUGUUGAGGAAGCUUCUCUGCAGCCCUUGCACUCCUGGACUUCUAGAAAUUUCCUCCCUCACCUUGGACCACUGCC